This 1026-nucleotide ribosomal RNA is filed under the name Triticum aestivum (bread wheat). Its description in RNAcentral is "partial small subunit ribosomal RNA". The record is from RNAcentral. Lineage: Eukaryota; Viridiplantae; Streptophyta; Magnoliopsida; Poales; Poaceae.
AUGGGGGCUUUGAACCUCUUCCCAAACCUGUCGUCGAGCUGGGUCAAGCUCAUCCACGGCCAGGCGUGGCGCUUAUUGGUCCGGAGAGCGGGGCGUGGCUCAGUCAGCACCGGUCACGUACGUAAACCCACCAUGCACCAGCACCACACAUCACGGACGCCAGGGAGUUGCAAGAGGAUAAGGCAAUCGUGUCCCCGUGACUCCAUUUCCUACGGUACGCAUGCAGCUAGCACAGCCGGCCGAAGCUCUGCUCUCAGCUCGACAGCAAUGGCGAGAGCCUGCAAGUGCAGCCCCGCCUUGAGGCUGCUGCCGAACCCGAUCACGGCACAGCUCCCGAGCGGCAGGAGCCACGGAAGAUGCAGAUGCCUUGCCGUUCACGCGCAGCUCCCAGCCGAGGAUGCCGAUGAUUACCCCGCUGAGUCACCCAAAAGGGUCCAGGUUACACAGAGCCUCAGGAGGAGCCGCCGGAGGGGAGCCGCCGGGCGGCAGAGCCUGAUCUCCGUCGGGACGUCGCGCGGCGGAGGAGAUCAGUGGGGCAGCGACUUCGAGCUGACGCUCCGGCAGCUGAGGCUGGACGACCUGAUCGAGGACGGGCACAGCGACGCCGACGUCCUGGUGCACCUUCUGGUCCAGCAGCACACCCAGUUCGGAAUGUCGAUCAAAGGGCGAGUGGUCACAUCGCUCACCAAAAUAUGUGAUUCCUGCUCCGCCCCAUACUGCACAAAGAUUGAUGAGCAGUUCGACAUUACGGUGCUGUCUUCCUCCAGGAAAGAUCAGAGCGGUUUGCCUGAAAUCGGAGACAGCGAUCCGUCAGUCAUCUAUGUGAAGCCAGGAACAGAAAUCGAUAUCGACUCGUCAAUCCAAGAGACGAUACGACUAACAGCGUCAGCCAAGAGUUCAUGUUCGGAGGCGUGUGAGAAGUCUCCUGUCGUGUGGAAACGUGCUGGUAACCAGAAGAAGCGUUACAGCCAAACGUGGUCAAAACUUCUUGAUCUCAAGAGAACUCUGGAUAAGGCGCCCAGCUAA